RNAcentral lists this transfer RNA (124 nucleotides) under Orchesella cincta. It matches the Rfam family "tRNA". Rfam says of the family: Transfer RNA (tRNA) molecules are approximately 80 nucleotides in length. Their secondary structure includes four short double-helical elements and three loops (D, anti-codon, and T loops). The record is from Rfam by way of RNAcentral. Lineage: Eukaryota; Metazoa; Arthropoda; Collembola; Entomobryomorpha; Orchesellidae.
GACAGCAUGGCGGAGCGGUCUAACGCGUUAGACUCAAGCGAAAGCUUGCCUCUGUUCAAGCAGAGGUAUACAUGAGAUUUCUAAUCCUCGUAUGAGGGCGCGAGUUCGAAUCUCGCUGCUGUCA